Molecule: ribosomal RNA, 349 nt
Filed under: uncultured bacterium
Lineage: Bacteria
Description: partial 16S ribosomal RNA
Rfam family: Bacterial small subunit ribosomal RNA
Source: RNAcentral
CCUACGGGUGGCGGCAGUCGAGAAUCAUUCACAAUGGGGGAAACCCUGAUGGUGCGACGCCGCGUGGGGGAAUGAAGGUCUUCGGAUUGUAAACUCCUGUUAUGCGGGAGCAAAUUAAGAUGAUAGUAUCUCACUAGGAAGAGACGGCGAACUCGGUGCCAGCAGCCGCGGUACUACAGAGGUGUCAAGCGUUGUGCGGAAUGAGUGGGCGUAAAGCGUUCGUAGGCUGUUUCGUAAGUCGGGUGUGAAAGGCGCGGGCUCAACCCGCGAAUGGCACAUGAUACUGCGAGACUAGAGAAAUGUAGGGGGAGCCGGAAUGCUCGGUGUAGCAGUGAAAUGCGUAGAGAUC